RNAcentral lists this non-coding RNA (46 nucleotides) under Schistosoma mansoni. Lineage: Eukaryota; Metazoa; Platyhelminthes; Trematoda; Strigeidida; Schistosomatidae. The record is from RNAcentral.
GCACUGCUAACGAGUCCAACAAUAGGACGAAACGGCUGUUCAGUAC